RNAcentral lists this ribosomal RNA (253 nucleotides) under uncultured bacterium. RNAcentral's name for it is "partial 16S ribosomal RNA". It matches the Rfam family "Bacterial small subunit ribosomal RNA", at positions 524 to 776 of the family's 1533-position model. The record is from RNAcentral.
GACGAAGGAUGCAAGCGUUAUCCGGAUUCAUUGGGUUUAAAGGGUGCGUAGGCGGCCUUGUAAGUCAGUGGUGAAAUCUCGCAACUUAACUGCGAAACUGCCAUUGAUACUGCAGGGCUUGAGUACAGAUGCUGUGGGCGGAAUAUGACAUGUAGUGGUGAAAUACAUAGAGAUGUCAUAGAACACCGAUUGCGAAGGCAGCUCACAAAACUGUAACUGACGCUGAGGCUCGAAAGUGUGGGGAUCAAACAGG